UNGGAGAGGAAAGUGGAAUUCNUAGUGUAGCGGUGAAAUGCGUAGAUAUUAGGAAGAACACCAGUGGCGAAGGCGACUUUCUGGACGAAAACUGACGCUGAGGCGCGAAANCCAGGGGAGCGAACGGGAUUAGAUACCCCGGUAGUCCUGNCCGUAAACGAUGGGUACUAGGUGUAGGAGGUAUCGACCCCUUCUGUGCCGGAGUUAACGCAAUAAGUACCCCGCCUGGNGAGUACGACCGCAAGGUUGAAACUCAAAGGAAUUGACGGGGGCCCGCACAAGCGGUGGAGUAUGUGGUUUAAUUCGACGCAACGCGAAGAACCUUACCAGGUCUUGACAUUGAUGGACAGAACUAGAGAUAGUUCNUCUUCUUCGGAAGCCAGAAAACAGGUGGUGCACGGUUGUCGUCAGCUCGUGUCGUGAGAUGUUGGGUUAAGUCCCGCAACGAGCGCUACCCCUAUCUUAUGUUGCCAGCACUUUGGGUGGGGACUCAUGAGAGACUGCCGCAGACAAUGCGGAGGAAGGCGGGGAUGACGUCAAAUCAUCAUGCCCCUUAUGACCUGGGCUACACACGUACUACAAUGGGAGUUAAUAGACGGAAGCGAGAUCGCGAGAUGGAGCAAACCCGAGAAACACUCUCUCAGUUCGGAUCGUAGGCUGCAACUCG
Molecule: ribosomal RNA, 667 nt
Filed under: uncultured bacterium
Lineage: Bacteria
Description: bacterial SSU rRNA
Rfam family: Bacterial small subunit ribosomal RNA
Source: RNAcentral